This is a ribosomal RNA of Panthera tigris altaica (Amur tiger), 115 nucleotides long. The record is from Ensembl. NCBI's taxonomy places the organism in Eukaryota, Metazoa, Chordata, Mammalia, Carnivora, Felidae.
GUCUACGGCCAUACCACCCUGAACGCGCCCGAUCUCGUCUGAUCUCGGAAGCUAAGCAGGGUCGGGCCUGGUUAGUACUUGGAUGGGAGGAAGGACUUCCCAGGCACCCCGGUCU